GUUGGAACAAGAAAAAAAUUUUGGGCAAUCAUCUACUUUGUCUUUUACCUCUGAAGGUAAAAUUUCUGGGCAAUGGCACUGAGGAUUCUGGUCACUCAUCAUCAAAACCUCUGAAGGUAAGGGCUUCAUGCAUUUUGGUAGUAAGGGCUUCAUGCAUUUUGGUAUCUAGCUAAUUAUCUCUGAUUAUAUUGUUUAUUGUCUUUUACUUGCAAAUCACUUAUGUUUUCUUAAGAACAUGGUCUUAGUAGCUAGCAUUGGGACAUGUUAUUGUGCUAUUUUGGGCAAUUUUCAUGCUGUUUAAACUUCAUGAUAAAAUUUACUUUUGAUGUUCUGUCUUCUUUGUAAGAUGGUGUAGAUUUUCUUUCUCAUGGUCAUGAGUUAUUCUCACUGCUGUCUGGUGUUGUUUUCUGGUUUGCUGGUGUAGUUUUCCUUUUAACAGGGGUAUGCAUUGUUGUAGGCAUUGUGAACACCAAUAUAGAAAAUUAUUGAGGUGGGGUCUUCUUAAUGUUUGUUUUCCAAUUGAACAGUUCAAUCUUCAAUUGUUUAAUUUUGUUUGAGUUAUGUGAUUGUUGAAAAAGAAGAGAAAGCCUCAGGAGUACGAGAUGAAACUGAAACCAGCGAAGAAAAUGGUUCAGAUCACUUCCAGGACUUGUCAACCAGACCCAAAGGGAUAUCAUAGAAUAUGGAAACACAUGGACAUGUGGAAGAAAAGGAAACAGGUAUAUGACAAGUGCACAACAAAUGGACUCACAACAAAGACAAGUGCACAAAGGAUGAUGAAUUGAAGGAUGGAGCAAGUUUCAUGCAUGGUUUAUUUUUGUGUAUCUUGUAAUGUUUUUGUUUUUCAUUUUUGAAGUAAAAAAUGUUCAAGAAACUUUAUUAUGUUAUGCUUUCAAACUUAAGUUAGAACUAAGAUCUCAUGAAAUAGACACAUUCAUAGUUUGAAUUAGUUAUUGUUUAAUGUAAUACUUAUGGUUUAUCAAUAU
This is a long non-coding RNA of Humulus lupulus (European hop), 986 nucleotides long. RefSeq lists it as uncharacterized. The record is from RefSeq and is a predicted model, not a curated record. Lineage: Eukaryota; Viridiplantae; Streptophyta; Magnoliopsida; Rosales; Cannabaceae. The transcript is spliced from 3 exons.